CCUACGGGUGGCAGCAGUGGGGGAUAUUGCACAAUGGGGGAAACCCUGAUGCAGCGACGCCGCGUGUGGGAAGACGGUCUUCUGGAUUGUAAACCACUGUCCCCAGGGACGAAAAUGACGGUACCUGGGGAGGAAGCUCCGGCUAACUACGUGCCAGCAGCCGCGGUAAUACGUAGGGAGCAAGCGUUGUCCGGAAUUACUGGGUGUAAAGGGAGCGUAGACGGCAGCACAAGUCUGGAGUGAAAUCCCGGGGCUUAACCCCGGAACUGCUUUGGAAACUGUGCGGCUGGAGUGCAGGAGGGGUAAGCGGAAUUCCUAGUGUAGCGGUGAAAUGCGUAGAUAUUAGGAGGAACACCGGUGGCGAAGGCGGCUUACUGGACUGUAACUGACGUUGAGGCUCGAAAGCGUGGGGAGCAAACAGGAUUAGAUACCCCGGUAGUC
This 441-nucleotide ribosomal RNA is filed under the name uncultured bacterium. Its description in RNAcentral is "partial 16S ribosomal RNA". It matches the Rfam family "Bacterial small subunit ribosomal RNA", at positions 338 to 795 of the family's 1533-position model. The record is from RNAcentral.